GAUGAACGCUGGCGGCGUGCCUAAUACAUGCAAGUAGAACGCUGAAGGAGGAGCUUGCUCUUCUGGAUGAGUUGCGAACGGGUGAGUAACGCGUAGGUAACCUGCCUGGUAGCGGGGGAUAACUAUUGGAAACGAUAGCUAAUACCGCAUGACAACAGUUAUUGCAUGAUAACUGUUUAAAAGGGGCAACUGCUCCACUACCAGAUGGACCUGCGUUGUAUUAGCUAGUUGGUGAGGUAACGGCUCACCAAGGCGACGAUACAUAGCCGACCUGAGAGGGGGAUCGGCCACCAUGGGACCGGGGCACGGCCCAGACUCCUACGGGAGGGAGCAGUAGGGAAACCUCGGCAAUGGACGGAAGUCUGACCGAGCAACGCCGCGUGAGUGAAGAAGGUUUUCGGAUCGUAAAGCUCUGUUGUAAGGGAAGGAAGAGUGUGAGAGUGGAAAGUGCACACUGUGACGGUAUCUUACCAGAAAGCGACGGCUAACUACGUG
This 495-nucleotide ribosomal RNA is filed under the name uncultured bacterium. RNAcentral's name for it is "partial 16S ribosomal RNA". It matches the Rfam family "Bacterial small subunit ribosomal RNA", at positions 28 to 507 of the family's 1533-position model. The record is from RNAcentral.